This 260-nucleotide long non-coding RNA is filed under the name Elaeis guineensis (African oil palm). RNAcentral describes it as "long non-coding RNA (EGUI_LNC069487)". Lineage: Eukaryota; Viridiplantae; Streptophyta; Magnoliopsida; Arecales; Arecaceae. The record is from RNAcentral.
GUUCGGCAAUUGAUAUUUUUUCUAAUUCAGGAUCAAAUUAAAUACUUUAAUUCAACCAAACCUAUAAGUCAAGAUUGACAUCUAAUAACAUAUUAUAAUUAGCCAAAAGAUAUAAAAUUUGAUGAAAAUACCAAAUAUACCUUCAGUAGUAAGUUACUAUAUAAUUUAAUUUUUUUUAUCGUCCCUGCAUCUUAAAUAUAUUCAUGAGUAUGGAAUCAUGUCAAACUCAAAUACAUAUUUAUAUCGAUUCUGCAUCAAUC